RNAcentral lists this unclassified non-coding RNA (3082 nucleotides) under Monomorium pharaonis (pharaoh ant). RNAcentral describes it as "uncharacterized LOC118647248, transcript variant X1". Lineage: Eukaryota; Metazoa; Arthropoda; Insecta; Hymenoptera; Formicidae. The record is from RNAcentral.
UCCGUUUGUUACUGUGUCCGUUUAUUAUUGUGUCCGUUUAGUCUGUGUCCGUUUGUUACUGCGUCCGUUUCACUCAGCUUGCUGUGUCCGUUUAUUACUGUGCGCAUCUGGGACGCUCCCUAAUGGCUUAUAACAAUGUAUCUUAUCAUGAGGCGAAAAGAAUAAUAAACGGCUCGGAAGAGAUCAAAAAUACGACAGAUACAUAAAACCGAAAGAAUGGCCAGCGUUACUAAAAAAAAAAAGUAGAACGGAGACCAACCCGAAUAGAAUAGAUAUAGAUUAUAUUCAAAAGCAAUACGCGGAAAAUAUUUAUCCAGUAAAAACAAGAGAAAGAGAGAAAGAAAAUGAGAGAGUAAAUCUCAAAUACAAAAUUAACUAUACGCCAUUAAACAGAAGAAACCAAGAAGUAGAUAAAGAGAAUAAUCAGGAGGAAAAGAGAAACCAAAGACCAAAGGAAUAUUAUACUACAAGAAAUGAUAGGAGUGCGGAAAUAAGAAGACAAAAUUACGGAUUGGCAAGAGUAAAUAAAUUAGAACAAGAAGAAGAAGAAGAGAAAUGGAUAUGCCAAAUGUUGAAAGUGUUUGGACCGAUAAAAAAUGAAGAGAAAUAGUUACAUUAAGAGUUUAAAAAAAAAUGAAAGAAAUAGAGAAUUUAGAAAAAAAUGAGGGAAAAGAUCGAUUACAAAAGAACGGGAAGAAUUGAAAGUAAGAGAACGACGAGAAGUAGAGGAAAGUAAAAAGAAAUGGAAGAGAGAAAUGUUAAUGAGAAACAGAAAUAAAGCAUAUGGCAAGAUGAAAGAAGUAAAAGAACGAUACUGGAUUGACAGAGACAAAGUUAGAGAAGAGGAACAAUAAAUAAGAAAUAAAUAACAAACAAACUAGGUCUAAAUCCUUAAAAAAAAAGAAGACAAACUAAAAGAAACAGACCCAUCUCAACUUAUAAUCAAUACCUUUGUAAUAAAAUUUGAUAUUGCAACUAUCACCAUAAUGAAUAGAUGCGUAUGGAACGCAAGAGGUUUAAGGAAUAAACAAGCAGAACUCACAAACAACAUAAAAGAAUUCGAUAUAUUGAUAGCUACAGAGACUAAAGUUAACUAUAAAAAAGAAGUAAUAAUAUCAGGUUAUAAAACAUAUAAAACACAAAAUCAAAACAGUAACGGAGGAAUAGCAAUUUUUAUAAAAAAUGAGAUAGAAUUUAAAGUAAUUGUAGAAUUGUAGAAUUAAAAGAAUGGUAUACAAACUCGGAGAACCUAGAAUUCAUUGGAAUUAGAGUACAAAAUACAAUAAGACAAUUUAACUUAAUAGGAGUAUAUAGGAAACCAAUGGGAGUAGAACCAACCAAUGUAUGGAAUGAAUUAAUGGGAUUCGAAGAUGAAGAACUGGAUACUAUAAUCACGGGAGACUUCAAUUCACAUCACAAUCUAUAGAACUGUAACAAUAUAGACAGAACGGAGAAAGAUUAUGGACAACAAUGUACAACAUGGUUACUUAUGUUUAAACACAGAUACAUUAUCAUUUGAAAGUGAAAAUGGGACAGAUGCAAGAUCUAACAUUGAUUUAAUAUUCGUAAAGGGAAAAAUACUAGACUUAAUGAGUUACGAACAAUAUCAAGAUACAUAGGAAUCGGAUCACUACCCGAUUAAAAUAUGUAUAAAUACAGAAGUUUAUCCAUACAAGAAAAAAACAGAUUAACUAAAAAAAAAAAACAGACUGGAAAGUUUACACUUCACAGAUGGAAAAAGAGUGGGAAAAAAGAGAACGAAUAGAAAUCCAUAUGGAAACGGAAGAAGAGAUAAUAGAAUGGUAUAAUAAACUUCAAGAAUCAAUGAAGGAGAAUAUACAUAAGGUAACGGAAGGAAGAAAGAGGAAAACAAAGAAACAACAAGAAAAGAGAGAAGAAGAAGAAAACGUUAACAAAACACAAAAUAGAAAGAGACUGACCCAACAGGUAAGCUGGUGGGAUGAAGAAUGCGAAAAAGUAUGCGCAGAAAGAAAAAGAAAAAUAGAUGGAGUCAUACGAGAAACAUGGAGGAUAAAAUUGAGUAUAAAAGAUGCAAAGUAAUAGCUACAAAAGUGAUUAAUAGGAAAAAAAAGGAAGAAUUCACAAGAUUUUCAUCUAGCAUAAAUAGAUUUACAGGAUUGACAUAUGUGUGGAACAAACUAAAAAUCCUGAGAAAUGCCAAAAAAAGAAGAGAGUGGAAUAAAUGGCAAACAAAAGAUAGAAUAGAAGAGAUCUAUAAAACAAUAGAGGAACUAUCACUAGAUUAGGUUACUAAAAAAUAUGAAAUCAAGGUACAACAAGGACAAAGAAAAGAACAAAGAACAAGAAUAAGUAUAGAACAACUGGAAAAAGAUUUCAUCACGAAUUACAAAGAGCUGUUAAAAAUAUAAGAAAAGACUCAGCCCCAGGAAAGGAUGGAAUAUAUUAUAAAAUGAUAGAAAGGUUGAAAAUGCAAAAAAGAUUUUACUAAAGAUCCAUACAAUGAAAUAUGGCAUACAGGAAUAAUCCCGGAGGAGUGGAGAGAAUAUCAAAUACUGUUCAUUGAUAAAGUAGGAAAGGAAGCAGUAAGACCCAUUGUACUAUCAUCAUGUAUGGGAAAAAUGAUGGAAAGAUUGAUAAAUGAAAGAUUGACGUGGUGGGUGGAAAAAGAAAGGAAGUUACAUGAAACUCAAAACGGACUUAGAAGAGGUAGAUCGUGUACAGAAAAUCUGACAGCAAAUCGGCAUUACAAGCGAUGAAAAACAAUAAGAUGAACAUGUAUCAAAAUAAAUAUUUAUUAGAGUGGAGGGAAAAUCAUUGGAAGACAACCAGACAUUUUAAAAAAAGAAUCAUAUAUAUUUGGAUCCCUGGGCAUAGAGGAAUAACAGGAAAUAGACUGGCUGAUCGAUUAGCAAAGGAGGCUACAAGAUACGACUACGAAGAAACAAUUCAAAUACCAAUCGGGGAUUUGAGAAACAUACAUAAAGAGGAAUUUUGGAUAGAGGAAAUAAAGAGGAAAGAAACUAAUGAUAGAAUUAAAGAUGAAUCGAACUUCAAAGGAAAACAUUAUUUCGAAAACUUCUACAACAAAAAAAAGAAAAAA